RNAcentral lists this transfer RNA (63 nucleotides) under Latona dysoni. RNAcentral's name for it is "tRNA-Ser". Lineage: Eukaryota; Metazoa; Arthropoda; Branchiopoda; Diplostraca; Sididae. The record is from RNAcentral.
GGUCUUGUUGGCAUGAAAUAGUUUUGAAAACUAUUUAAGGACGUUCGAAUCGUCUAAAGGCUU